CAAUAGCGUAUAUUAAAGUUGUUGCGGUUAAAAAGCUCGUAGUUGGAUUUCUGCCGAGGACGACCGGUCCGCCCUCUGGGUGAGCAUCUGGCUCGGCCUGGGCAUCUUCUUGGAGAACGUAUCUGCACUUGACUGUGUGGUGCGGUAUUCAGGACUUUUACUUUGAGGAAAUUAGAGUGUUUCAAGCAGGCAUACGCCUUGAAUACAUUAGCAUGGAAUAAUGGAAUAGGACUACGGUCUCUUUGUUGGUUUGAGGGACUGCAGUAAUGAUUAAUAGGGAUAGUUGGGGGCAUUAGUAUUUAAUUGUCAGAGGUGGAAUUCUCGGAUUUGUUAAAGACGGACUACUGCGAAAGCAUUUGCCAAGGAUGUUUUCAUUGAUCAAGAACGAAAGUUAGGGGAUCGAAGACGAUCAGAUACCAU
Molecule: ribosomal RNA, 420 nt
Filed under: uncultured eukaryote
Lineage: Eukaryota
Description: SSU rRNA
Rfam family: Eukaryotic small subunit ribosomal RNA
Source: RNAcentral